Molecule: ribosomal RNA, 382 nt
Filed under: uncultured bacterium
Lineage: Bacteria
Description: bacterial SSU rRNA
Rfam family: Bacterial small subunit ribosomal RNA
Source: RNAcentral
AUUGAACGCUGGCGGCAUGCCUUACACAUGCAAGUCGAACGGCAGCACGAGAGCAAUCCUGGUGGCGAGUGGCGAACGGGUGAGUAAUGUAUCGGAACGUACCUUUCAGUGGGGGAUAACGUAGCGAAAGUUACGCUAAUACCGCAUAUUCUGUGAGCAGGAAAGCAGGGGAUCGCAAGACCUUGCGCUGAUUGAGCGGCCGAUAUCAGAUUAGCUAGUUGGUGAGGUAAAGGCUCACCAAGGCGACGAUCUGUAGCGGGUCUGAGAGGAUGAUCCGCCACACUGGAACUGAGACACGGUCCAGACUCCUACGGGAGGCAGCAGUGGGGAAUUUUGGACAAUGGGCGCAAGCCUGAUCCAGCCAUGCCGCGUGAGUGAAGAA